RNAcentral lists this ribosomal RNA (468 nucleotides) under uncultured bacterium. Its description in RNAcentral is "partial 16S ribosomal RNA". It matches the Rfam family "Bacterial small subunit ribosomal RNA", at positions 28 to 507 of the family's 1533-position model. The record is from RNAcentral.
GACGAACGCUGGCGGCGUGCUUAACACAUGCAAGUCGAACGGAAAGGCCCUGCUUUUGUGGGGUGCUCGAGUGGCGAACGGGUGAGUAACACGUGAGUAACCUGCCCUUGACUUUGGGAUAACUUCAGGAAACUGGGGCUAAUACCGGAUAGGAGCUCCUGCUGCAUGGUGGGGGUUGGAAAGUUUCGGCGGUUGGGGAUGGACUCGCGGCUUAUCAGCUUGUUGGUGGGGUAGUGGCUUACCAAGGCUUUGACGGGUAGCCGGCCUGAGAGGGUGACCGGCCACAUUGGGGCUGAGAUACGGCCCAGACUCCUACGGGAGGCAGCAGUGGGGAAUAUUGCACAAUGGGCGGAAGCCUGAUGCAGCAACGCCGCGUGCGGGAUGGCGGCCCUCGGGUUGUAAACCGCUUUCGCCUGUGACGAAGCGUGAGUGACGGUAAUGGGUAAAGAAGCCCCGGCUAACUACGUG